Molecule: ribosomal RNA, 463 nt
Filed under: uncultured bacterium
Lineage: Bacteria
Description: bacterial SSU rRNA
Rfam family: Bacterial small subunit ribosomal RNA
Source: RNAcentral
GCCAGACUCCUACGGGAGGCAGCAGUGAGGAAUAUUGGUCAAUGGGCGAGAGCCUGAACCAGCCAAGUCGCGUGAGGGAGUACUGCCCUAUGGGUUGUAAAUCCCUUUUGUCGGGGAGCAAAAGCCGGACGUGUCCGGCUGUGAGAGUACCCGAAGAAAAAGCAUCGGCUAACUCCGUGCCAGCAGCCGCGGUAAUACGGAGGAUGCGAGCGUUAUCCGGAUUUAUUGGGUUUAAAGGGUGCGCAGGCGGAUUUUUAAGUCAGCGGUCAAAUCGUGGGGCUCAACCCCAUCCAGCCGUUGAAACUGGCUUGCUAGAGUGGGCGAGAAGUAUGCGGAAUGCGUGGUGUAGCGGUGAAAUGCAUAGAUAUCACGCAGAACUCCGAUUGCGAAGGCAGCAUACCGGCGCCCAACUGACGCUCAGGCACGAAAGCGUGGGUAUCGAACAGGAUUAGAUACCCGAGUA